AACUCUAGAUUUUUCUUAAUCUUUGGAAGAAUCAAAUCAUGAGGUUUAUUUUCUUGAUGGAUUAGAGGCUUGUAAUUGGAUUGGAGGAAGGCGUCUCUACACCUCUUGGGAAUUAAUUUGUAGAGUCUCAAUCUACGCUUUUGCUAUUUUUGGAGAUUCAUAGACUUUUGUGUGGCUCGCCUCAACUUGGAAGACUAGAAUUUUUUUGAAGGAUCAAAGGUGGGCAUCUUGUAGUUGAGGUUUUGCU
Molecule: non-coding RNA, 247 nt
Organism: Camellia sinensis
Lineage: Eukaryota; Viridiplantae; Streptophyta; Magnoliopsida; Ericales; Theaceae
Source: RefSeq, a predicted model, not a curated record